This 434-nucleotide ribosomal RNA is filed under the name uncultured bacterium. RNAcentral describes it as "partial 16S ribosomal RNA". It matches the Rfam family "Bacterial small subunit ribosomal RNA", at positions 29 to 507 of the family's 1533-position model. The record is from RNAcentral.
AGCGAACGCUGGCGGCAGGCCUAACACAUGCAAGUCGAACGAACCUUUCGGGGUUAGUGGCGGACGGGUGAGGAACACGUGGGAACGUGCCUUUAGGUUGGGAAUAACUCAGGGAAACUUGUGCUAAAACCGAACGUGCCCUUCGGGGGAAAGAUUUAUCGCCUUUAGUGUGGCCCGCGUCUGAUUAGCUAGUUGGUUGAGGUAAUGGCUCACCAAGGCGUCGUUCAGUAGCUGGUCUGAGAGGAUGAUCAGCAACAUUGGGACUGAGACACGGCCCAAACUCCUACGGGAGGCAGCAGUGGGGAAUCUUGCGCAAUGGGCGAAAGCCUGACGCAGCCAUGCCGCGUGAAUGAUGAAGGUCUUAGGAUUGUAAAAUUCUUUCACCGGGGACGAUAAUGACGGUACCCGGAGAAGAAGCCCCGGCUAACUUCGUG